Molecule: ribosomal RNA, 766 nt
Filed under: Tricholoma inamoenum
Lineage: Eukaryota; Fungi; Basidiomycota; Agaricomycetes; Agaricales; Tricholomataceae
Description: partial small subunit ribosomal RNA
Rfam family: Bacterial small subunit ribosomal RNA
Source: RNAcentral
AAAUCAUAUGACUCAUUAAUUAAUGGUGAAUAUGAUAACAUAAGGGAAAAAAAUGAUAUUACCUUAUUAUUAGUGUUGUCCAAAACUGGUGCCAGAAGACUCGGUAAGACCAGAGACGCAAACGUUAGUCAUCUUAAUCAGGCGUAAAGGGUUUGUAGGCUGCUUUUAAAGUUUAAAUCUUUGUAAUAGCUCUUUUACCGUACUGCUACAAGAUAAAAAAUUGAAAUAAUAAUAAUAAUAAAAGUUAAAUCACAAAUUUGAAUUGUAGUAUAUAAAAUUUAAUAAAAACAAAAAUUAAAUGAUAUAAACAAAUAUCCGUGUAUCAGUAAAGAAAUAAAUGAAUAAAAGCUAGGAUCAAAUUGAGGAUAAACCAAAUAAUACUUAGAGUAGGGCUUAUAUCCGUAGAUACUAAGGGGAAUACUAAAGGUGAAAACUUUUUAUCUACUAUUGAUUGACGCUGAGAAACGAAGGUGAGAACAGGAAAUAGGAUUAGAUACCCAGAUACCUCUCACUGUCAACGAUGAAUGGUGGUUUGUUAGUUUUAAUAAAAACUGGUAGCGAUGUUAACACGAUAACCAUUCCGCCUUGCGAGUACGGUUGCAAAACUGAAACCAAAAAAAUUAGUCGGUUUCGAAGCAAACGAAGUGAGCAUGUUAUUUAAUACGAGAGUACUUGCAUAUCCAAUUUGUUCUUAGUUAAUUCUAAGUCUCUUUUUAAUAAGAAAACAGAUUGAGUAAUUUUUAUUUAUUUUAAAAAUUCGUUUACA